Molecule: ribosomal RNA, 438 nt
Filed under: uncultured bacterium
Lineage: Bacteria
Description: bacterial SSU rRNA
Rfam family: Bacterial small subunit ribosomal RNA
Source: RNAcentral
UCCUACGGGAGGCAGCAGUAGGGAAUAUUGCACAAUGGGCGCAAGCCUGAUGCAGCAACGCCGCGUGCGCGAUGAAGGCCUUCGGGUCGUAAAGCGCUUUUCUGGGAGACGAGGAAGGACGGUAUCCCAGGAAGAAGGCUCGGCUAACUACGUGCCAGCAGCCGCGGUAAAACGUAGGAGCCUAGCGUUAUCCGAAUUUACUGGGCGUAAAGCGCGUGCAGGCGGCUUGGUAAGUUGGCUGUGAAAUCUCCCGGCUCAACUGGGAGGGGACGGUCAAGACUGCCAGGCUCGAGGGCGGUAGAGGGAGGUGGAAUUCCCGGUGUAGUGGUGAAAUGCGUAGAGAUCGGGAGGAACACCUGUGGCGAAAGCGGCCUCCUGGGCCGUACCUGACGCUCAGACGCGAAAGCUAGGGGAGCGAACGGGAUUAGAUACCCUGGU